UGGCAGACGGGUGAGUAACGCGUGGGAACGUGCCUUUUGGUUCGGAACAACUGAGGGAAACUUCAGCUAAUACCGGAUAAGCCCUUACGGGGAAAGAUUUAUCGCCAAAAGAUCGGCCCGCGUCUGAUUAGCUAGUUGGUGAGGUAAUGGCUCACCAAGGCGACGAUCAGUAGCUGGUCUGAGAGGAUGAUCAGCCACACUGGGACUGAGACACGGCCCAG
RNAcentral lists this ribosomal RNA (221 nucleotides) under uncultured bacterium. RNAcentral describes it as "partial 16S ribosomal RNA". It matches the Rfam family "Bacterial small subunit ribosomal RNA", at positions 96 to 334 of the family's 1533-position model. The record is from RNAcentral.